RNAcentral lists this ribosomal RNA (604 nucleotides) under uncultured bacterium. RNAcentral describes it as "bacterial SSU rRNA". The stretch from base 1 to 521 matches the Rfam family "Bacterial small subunit ribosomal RNA", at positions 338 to 873 of the family's 1533-position model. The record is from RNAcentral.
CCUACGGGAGGCAGCAGUGGGGAAUAUUGGACAAUGGGCGGAAGCCUGAUCCAGCAACGCCGCGUGAGGGAUGACUGCCUUCGGGUUGUAAACCUCUUUCAGCACAGACGAAGCGAAAGUGACGGUAUGUGCAGAAGAAGCACCGGCCAACUACGUGCCAGCAGCCGCGGUAAUACGUAGGGUGCGAGCGUUGUCCGGAAUUAUUGGGCGUAAAGGGCUCGUAGGCGGUUUGUCGCGUCGGGAGUGAAAACACACAGCUUAACUGUGUGCUUGCUUCCGAUACGGGCAGACUAGAGGUAUGCAGGGGAGAACGGAAUUCCUGGUGUAGCGGUGAAAUGCGCAGAUAUCAGGAGGAACACCGGUGGCGAAGGCGGUUCUCUGGGCAUUACCUGACGCUGAGGAGCGAAAGUGUGGGGAGCGAACAGGAUUAGAUACCCUGGUAGUCCACACCGUAAACGUUGGGCGCUAGGUGUGGGGCCUAUUCCAUGGGUUCCGUGCCGCNGCUACGCAUAGCGCCCGCCGUCGGGAGGUACGGCCGCGACGACGUAACUACGAAGAAGUAGACGGCGUGAGACGUCGCCGACGGACGACGACGAGGGAGAGG